Molecule: long non-coding RNA, 19976 nt
Organism: Pan troglodytes (chimpanzee)
Lineage: Eukaryota; Metazoa; Chordata; Mammalia; Primates; Hominidae
Exons: 4
Source: RefSeq, a predicted model, not a curated record
CCUGUUUCUUGAUUUUAUAUUUCAUAGGAACUCUCUCUUCUAUUCUCAGAGUCUACAAAAUGCAUUAUUAAAAAGGCAGGAAGAAAACUGGGCUUUAUCAAGGGAGGGUGACAUAGAAAAUUAGAAGAAAAAAUUGGUGAGUUGGACAGUCUAAGCAGUUAAUCUAGACAAGGUGGAAAGAAAAGUGAAAACAGCUGAGCUGAGUAAGGAAGACGAAGAACACUGAAAACAGGGGCUGGAAGUCCUAGAUGUAUAUACUGUCUCUCAGCUGACUGACUACGUUUUGAAAAGAUUUAUUCAUGUAUGUCAAGAUGAGACAAGAGAUCUCCUAAAACCACCAGCUUCUCUCCUUAUGUAUCUGAAGAAACUCUUUCCUCAGAGAACUCAAGUAAAUCUUGAGCAAGCCUGUAUACUGAAGUCAGCUUUCCACGUCAGAGUGACACUGUUGAGGUAGAUCCAUCAACUACAGAGGCUUCUGGGAUAUUUUCACAAGACAGCGAUUGUCAUACUGUGAGCUGAGAACAGCCGUUUCCUAGAGGAGUAAUUAGAUUGACAGAAGGUGACAUAUUCCAAGCAAUAAAUAGGAGAAAGAGUCCAGACAGGUAAUCCAAAAACCACGUGGAAUCUUUCCUCCCAGACAUGUGGACAUAUGGACCCUGCAUUAUUCCAUUUGCUCAUCGGAAAAACUUGAAAUACGUACAAACUGAUGAUGAUAGGUGACAGGUGUUUCAAAAAUUCUAAUGAAAUAGAAUUUCAUUAGGGAAACAGAUUCUAUUUCGUUACUGAAAGGAAUAGAAAUGAAAAAGGAUGCUACAUGGAGCUCUCAUUUCUUGUUUUAGGCAUUACGUUAUCAACUAGAAAAUCCUUUUCUUAUGCAGUGAUUAAAACUGAUUUUUCCCUUCUUAAAUACUAUUUUGUUAUUUAAAAAUUUUUUUCCUUUUAUUCUUUCAAAAAUUAUCUCGUUAGUAAAAAUAAAUAAGUAAAUUAUUGACCUUUUUCAAUUAUAUGAAGCUGUAUUUUUAUAUUAAUGCUCUUUAAGUAAAAUUCAGCUUUUUUUCAGAGAACCACCAUCACAGACUAAAAGCUUUCAACCACUCAAUUUCUUUACAUGUCUGCAGUGUCAAUCCUCAAGAAUGUAUAUUUUCAUCAUCAUCCUUUUCCUGUGCCUGCCCAUUCUACAGGCAGAGAAACCUGGAGAAACCCCCAAAUUACUCCUAUUAACCUUUGUUAAAAAUCCAAGUAAUCACACUUUGUUGCAUAGGUAGUGUGAUCUUUACCUCAGAGGGUUGAUGUGUCAAGAACACAUGCAGGAAUUAUUACUAUCAGUUGCAUCAAUGUCAUGUUCACACAAAAACCAAGAAAAAAAAGCAUCAACUUAGAAAAGGUAGUUUCCUUUCCUCUGAUCCUGAAUCAUUUUUUUGCUUGUCGUUCACAGCUUUAUGAAGAUAAGUAUCUACUCUUAACAAGCUGAAUAAUCUUUAGAAAGUAGUAAAUUCAUGUAGGAAUAGGAAGUGCAGUUGAAAUGAAUACUGCCUAUAAAUGGAGUUUCUAAGAAUAUUUCCUGAAAGUGUUUCCAUAUUGGUGUGCUGGUGCUCAUGCUGCUGCUGUUUCCUGACCCUUUAGUAUCUACAGAGAGGUGCUUUGAGGACUGUGCCCAGUGCCUUACUUCAUUUAAAAUUUAUUCGGCAAACGAUUAUUGAAAACCUACUAUGUGCCAGAUACUGUUUUGUACGCUUAUGUGUUAGGAAAGCAGCCAAAUUUAAAACUAAAAAGCUCUGACCUGACUUAUAAUAUUGUACGGUUUUUGCCUUAGGCUGAGGGAAGAUUAGAUGCCAAGAAAUUUCUCCACAGGUUUUAAUAAAACUGUAGGCAUUGUCUAUACUAUCUCUCCCUGUAGUACUAUAGUCCCUUUUCUUUGUUCUUAUUCUAGAAAUGAAAAGACACAUUAAUAUAUUAAAUCUAGUAUAAUCAGCAGGUAGACUUUAAUUAGGCAAGCAAAUCAUAUCCAAUACAGAGUACAAAAAGUUAGAUUUUAACAAAAAUUAUUCACUUGUGGUAAAAAUUUUAAUAAAAAGUUGAAAAUAUAAAACUGUACAAUACUGUAUUUCUCUAGGUUAUUUAUUAAUGCUCAUUCUAGCCAGAUAUCAACUUCUACUGGGGAAGGGGUGGAUGGUGUUGGAUAUUGUCAUUGUUUUUAUUUUUAUAUGCUUCCUCAAAAGAUAAUCUUAAUAUUGGAGCUGAAAUUUUUUUGACUGAAUCAUUUUCAUCUUCAAAUAAUGGAAAUAAAAGACACACUAAUUAAAGAUUUGAAAGCCUUUUCAUGUAUUGAACACAAGGAAACAUCCACCAACUCUGUCUUAAGGGCCACAAAUUAUUUGACAUAAACAUUCAAAUGGUGCUAAUUAUUGAUACUCUCGUCUGGAUGAGACCGCCAAGCAUCAUCCGGCCCUUCCUCAUGCCCACAGUGGGUGAGGAAUAAUGGUGCAAACGCUGCAUGCCUUUCCUUCUGCAUCCCUUCUCAAGCUGGGCUCUCCUUCAGGAAUGAGCCCACCAAUAUCUGUUCCUCCUUCAAAGAGCAGCUGACACAUUGUCUCCUCUCUUUAGACUUUCUGAUCGCUCAGGCUGAAUCAGUUUCUCCUUCAUUCAGGCACUCAUUUUAUUCUACCCAUUUUCCCACUAUAGUCUUAAUCACACAUUAUUGAUCCUUUAUGUGCUUUUUUUCCUCUGCUAGAUUGAGAGGUCCUUAACAAAGCACUUUGCUUUAUUCACUUUGGAGUUUCACCAGAGAGCAGUCUGACCUACUGUAGUUGCUCAAUAAAUGCUAGAUGAAUGAAUGGAACACACAUUUCCACUUCAAUGUUAAUGUAUGUGGAGGUUUCUUGACUUGACCAAGGCUGUCUGGCUGGCUGGAGGCAAAGGCUGUAGUAGGGUCCAGACCCCUUGAUACAUAUUUACUAACUGCUACUAUGUGUCAGGUGCUGCCAGUGGUCCUCUGGAUGCUAAGAUGAUUUUUCUGGACAUUUGAUAAAGAUGAUUUGUUUAUGUAUGUGUUUUUCUUCCUGCUACUAUGAGCUACUAGAGGUUAGGAAUAGUUUAUUUGUCAUCUCGUAUCACCAGAACUUAGCACAAGCCCUGGCAAGUGGUUGGAACUUACUAGAUAUUUGCAGCAUUCAUGACAAACUGAAAUGAAUAGAUGAACAGAACAGAAAAGAAUGUUCAAAUGUUAGAGGGAGGAAGAUUAGUCUCAGUGCAGUAUUUUGCAACUGCAAUCUCUUUUUUUUUCCAUUUAUUACUACCAUUUCACACUACGUUAAAACUCAAUGUUUUUAUUCCCUCUUAAUAACUCCCAAAUUUACUACUUUUUGAAAUGUACAGUUUUUAAGUUAGAAAGCAGUGCAAUGUAGAUGUGAUUUGUACUAUGUAUGAAACAUUAUAACUCACAAAUUUUACAUUAUUGAAGGCUUAAAAUUUAGGGGUACUAGUCUAAAUAGACACCCUCAGAAAAACUGUGCAGUCAAUGAAAUCUUUAAUGCCAGAAAGUCAUAAGCAUAUAAUCUCAGUGAUCAAAAGUGUAGCUGAAAGAGGGCACAGAAUUUUCAGCAUGGAAAGAGAAAAAAGGGAGUGAUAUUUUAGGCAGAAGGUAAAGGUUAGCAAAGGAAAAACAAAACCUUUGUAGGAAAGAGCACAGGGAAAUUUGUGAAUGUGAGUCAGAUACUAUAAAUCUGAAUUAAGCAUGCUUUCAAAUUCUUGGGCAAAGUUCAUCAUUUUCCCCCAUUCUUGGAUGCUAGUCUACUGCUCCACUAUUCUCCUGGGCUUUUACAUUGGUCUUAUUCUGGACCAACAUUUGCCUGAGGGAAUUCAUGGAAAAUCAGGGUGAUUCUGGGGCCAAUCAGAUGAUUCAGGCUUCCUCAGGACAGAUCAAGGAUUUGGUGUUUGUAAGGAUUCUUCCGCCAAACCUCUAUUGGAACCCGGACAGGGCAUGCAUCAUGAGUUGGCCUAGAAUGGGACUGAGAUGGGGAAGUCUGGCACACGUUAGCUGUAAAACACUCCCUGAGAUCCUCAAUCCAGCAGAGAUGUGAAGUGAAAUACUAAAGAGAGAACAUUUAAUAUAUAAUCAUUGAAAUGCAUGAUAGUAUAUGCAGUUAAUCCUAUAUAUCUAUAUCUAUAGCUAUAGUUGUUGUUGUUGUUAGACAGAGUCUUGCUCUGUCACCCAGGCUGGAGUGCAGCGGCAUGAUCUCAGCUCACUGCAACCUCUGCCUCCUGGGUUCAAGUGAUCUUCCCACUUCAGUCUCCCAAGUAGCUGGAAUUACAGGUGUGUGCCAUCAAGUCUAGCUAAUUUUUGUAUUUUUUGGUAGAGAUGGGGGGUCUCACAAUGUUGUCCAGGCUGGUCUUGAACUCUUGACCUCAUGUAAUCCACGCACCUAAGCCUCCUAAAGUGCUAGGAUUAUGGGCAUGGGCCACUGUGUCCAGCCUAUCCUAAUAAUCUUUAUAAUGCAAGUUAAGAAAAGAAAGGCUGGAAUGCAAAGAAUCAAAUUGUAGGUUGUUUUGAAGAAUGGGCAAUGUUAGUGAUUUCUUAAAUGAGGAAGGAAAAGACAAGACAGAACUAUAAAUUAAACAAAGGUUGAGAGAGGAAAGGAGUAAAUUAAUAAAGAUCAGAGAGCAGGUUUUUUGAAAGUAUAAAAUGUAUAAUAAUUGUAACUUCACAUACUAAACAUUUUAGACUAUGGCAUUUUACUUGCAAAUGGGUUGGUUACAGGGACAAAAAGGCUGUAUCUUGAGGCACUGAUGCUUUACAAAUAACAUGUUGGAGCAUCUUUUAUAAACCAUUAAUGACUUAUUUUAACAAAAGAUGUAGAUGUUAUCCUGGGUCGUCAAAAUAAGUCAAAUCAUUAUUUUUAUUUCCUAGUUUUAAAUGCCUUUUUAUUCAAUUUGAGUCUAUGCGUGAUUAGUCAUUUGAAAUGCGAGUAGCUUAUAUCCUACAUCUUUGCAUUCACCAGUCACUUCUGAGCUAUCUUUUGAGUCACCACAUUUCCUCAUUUCUACAGGAUUUCCCACGAUCUCUUCUACUGUAUCAUUUCUUUUCCCAUUUAUUUUCUGGAUUCCAGCCUACCCCUUCAUCCAUUUCUCUCCCAUCUUUCCCUUCCUAGCAAAUGUCACAACGUACUUGUUCAAGCUGAAAACUCAGAAAUCACCCUUGAUUCCGUAAUUUCUUGACUCACCUAUCAUUAUUCUUUCUAUUUGGUCUUCUGUGCUUUGUCUGUUUGUUUUUGGACUCCCACCUUCCAGUCAAUCUUCCUUCAUACUUCUGGCAGGGUCUAAUUAAAAUGCACAUCUAAUUGGAAGGCUGUUCUCCUUGAAAACCCUCCACCUGCCUCUAGGCUCAUUUCCUCUUUUCUCCAGCCUACUGUGUGUAUUAGCUCGUUCUCACACUGCUAAUAAAGACAUACCAAGACUGAGUAAUUUAUAAAGAAAAAUAGGUUUAAUGGCUUCACAGUUUCACAUGGCUGGGGAGGCCUCAGAAUCAUGGCAGAAGGCAGAGGAGAAGCAAAGGCAUGUCCUACGUGGCGGCAGGCAAGAGAGCUUGUGCAGGGGAACCCCCAUUUAUAAAACCAUCACAUCUCAUAAGACUUAUUCACUAUCAUGAGACCAGCAUGGGAAGGAUCCAUCCCCAAGAUUUAAUUACUUCCCACUGGGUCCCUCCCAUGACAUGUGGGGACUGUAACAAUUCAAGGUGAGAUUUGGGUCAGGAUACAGCCAAACUAUAUCGCUGGGUUUUGGCCAAGGGGGAAAUUUCAUGUCAUUUGGCAAGUCAGCUCAAUCCUUUAGAAACACUACUUUGAUAUACGCCAUUCCAUCCUUGCUAGAAUAUCCUUAUUUACUCCUCCUCUCAGUUACACAAACCUUAAUUGUCCUAGGACACCCUAUUACCUAAUGCCCUCACUUACUUGGUGAAGCUUUUUCCUAACGCUUGUAGGAGGCACUCAGGAACUCCCUUUUCUGUACCUGUACAGUCCUUGACCUCUUUGUUUUUUACAUGUGGUAUGUUAUACUGUAAUUUAUUUUUUAACAUGUCUGCUUCACCACCAGGUAGUGUGUUCUGUGAAAAAUGGGCAUCUCUGGUCCCUAACACAGGGCUUGGGUAAUAUGUGUGGACUCAACCAAGAUUCUCAGUUAUGGUUCACUGGAUAAAUGAAUAAGCAAACAAACUUGACAGUCAUACUGUCUAACAGUGACAGACACUAACUGAAAUGAGUUGGGUGGUCUUGUAGAGUGACAGUACUAUUUAUUUGUUUUAAUAAGAUUAUUACCUCAAAAUGUAAGGAGUACAAGUUCUGGUAGGUUAAAGCAAUAUCUGGAAUGACUUCAAGAUUGCGGCACAGGACAUCCCUGUGGGAGCUGAGGGAAUGGAGGAGGUGACACGGACUAUUGUAACUGGUUCACAAAUGGUGGGAUUUCUCUGUGUUUAGACCUGCUCAGAGUCUGGGGCAUGAUGGGCUUCCAAGCCAUCUGUGGCUGCUGCUGCUCUGUUACUGCCAGGAAGACACAAACAUGUUGAGAACAAAACUUACUGCAAUAGACACCUUUGUGCAUUCUCUUCUCUAUUUCUACGUCUCCCCUCCGAAACAAGGACAUUACCCUUGAUGUACUUUACAGAAUAUCUGUCAGUUGGGAUCUCCAGUUUAUUACCAGCUUAUCAGAAAAGCAGAGUAUACACAGAACUUUCCAUAAGGCAUUGCAAAAUAAAGUCUUGAGGUUGGCAACUGAUUGACUUAUGUCAUGACUAUUUUGAUCAUACCUGAGAACUUAAGAUAUCAAAUUCCUCGUUUCUGAGACAGUCAGGAACUCCCAAGAUAAAGAUUGAGCUGUUUCCUUUAAUUCCUUGUCUCCCAACCUAAAGUGGUGGAUUUUACGUUCAGUUGACAGCCAGGCUUAAGAGAGGUAAAGACAUCUAAUGGGCUUGACCCUGGCCCACUUUUCUCCUGGGCUGGCCCUUGUCCUGAUGGGGAACAUUCUCUAUGUUGUGGUUGUCAUGCCUUAAGUCACAGGACCAACAUCACCAAUAACAGUUUUCAAUUUGGGACAGCACCAAAAAUACUGCAAGUUAUUUCUAUUCUUCAAUUUCUUAAAUAGCAGGCAGAGAGAUUUUUCAAGGACCAAUUCUGGAUUGUGAACACAGAUUUCAUUUAUGGUAUCCUCAACUUCUUCCCACAUAAUACGUGACGUUCAAAUCUUUUUAAAAUUGAUUUCUCCCUCUUCCUAAUAAACCAGCCUGCUCUUCAAGGAGUGGCUAUAAGUCAUUCACUCUUGAAAAUUUUCACUUUGGUUUUGGUUAUUCUAUAGUGAUCUGACAGCAAUGAGCAGGGAGGGUCCCUUAUAGUCUAUCUCCCCAGUUAAUAUGCCCUGUGAAGAACAAACACACUUAGAUGCUAAUUGAGGGUUUUGCCUGAGCUUGUGAUAUGCCAUCCCAGAGACUACCAUUGACAACUGUUAACACAUACUGCUCAAUACCCAUAUUGUUCUGAUUAGAGAAAAGUGAAGUAUCAGGAGUGCAGAGCGUCACUGGGAUUGUGGGAACACAAUACGUAAGUCACAGCCGCCUGUGGCUGCCUGUGGAGAGAAGAGUUUCAGUGUGUUAGAACAAAGUUCUAUGAGAGCAGAAUCUUUGUCUUUUUCACCUCUGUAUCCACAGCAUCUUGAAUGUUCCCAGCACAUGGAUGACACUCAAUAAAUAUUGUUAUUGUCGAUGAAAGAAUAAUGGAAUUCAAGGCUGUAGCAACAGAAGUUCUUAUUUAAAAUGGAAUUACAAUGAAAUCUGAAAACACAUAGAGGGCACUUAUUAGGUUUGUAUACAUACUGUACAUAUACACUGAUUCUACCCUUAGCAACAUCUACCCCUUAACCCCACCAUCCCCCAUCCUCGUACAUAAACUUAAAUUAUAAAAGGAAAAAAUCACGUGGAAGAGAGAGUUAAUAGAAUUAAUGUCUCUUUUAUUCUUCCUUAGAACUAUGUAAUGAACAGUUAUUUCAUAUUGUUGCUAUCUGUUUUCUGCUUUUAUAUCAUUUUCUAGAUUAUAAGAUUCUUGCAGACAGGAAGUCUCCUGACGACUUUCCAUCCUUGGCAACAAGUAGGAUAUCUGACAGGAGAAUGUUGCUACAAAUUGGUUAACUUUUCUGGAUAGGUGUCCUACAGGGGAAUAAUGGUAAGGACAGCCUGAUGAUAUACAAUGGAGAGGCUCAGGCAGACUAAGCAAAAGCUAGUGGCUAGGAAUCCAAAUGUUCCCCCUUGAAAACCAAACCUCUCUCGCUUUUUAGUCAGGUUUGCCAGGUCUGUAAAAGGUGAGCAGUCUUGGUCUCUAGUCUUACUUGUAUAUUACUUGUCCCUUUCCAUGUAAAAUCUCUCCUGGGACUUGGCUAAUGCAAUAUUAGUGUUUUCACUGUAUUGGUUCAUAUACUGGCAAACCUUCUGCUUAACAGAGGCAGUGAAAGGUAUAAUGGGUAGAUGGUUGCUGGUCAGGGGACAGUUGCUGAUCCAGGGCCAGUUAAGCCAGCAGACAGACAUCCUGGGGUUUCAUCAGACUUAGCAUAAGGACAGGAAACCAGGAUGUACUCUCUAGUGAACAAGAGGCAGAAAGGCCGACUGGAAGUCAGAGAUCUGGGGAAAAGGCUCCUUGCAGGUUCAACAGUUGACCUGGAGGUAGAAGUUGUUAGAGUUACAGGAUGUUGUCAAUUGGUCAGAGAACAAACCUCUAUCUACCCACAACUACAUCAUGCAUUAAGAAAGUCUCACAGACUAAAUCUCCAAAAUUCACAGCAGUAAACUUAAAAUGCAAAUAAUUGUUUCUUUUCUGCAAAUAAGUUUCUACCUCUUUUUUUUUUUUUCUCUCGCUCUGUCGCCCAGGCUGGAGUGCAGUGGGGCGAUCUCGGCUCACUGCAAGCUCCGCCUCCCAGGUUCAGGCCAUUCUCCCGCCUCAGCUUCCCGAGUAGCUGGGACUACAGGCGCCCGCCACCACGCCAGGUUAAUCUUUUGUAUUUUUAGUAGAGACGGGGUUUCACCGUGUUAGCCAGCAUGGUCUCGAUCUCCUGACCUCGUGAUCUGCCCGCCUCGGCCUCCCAAAGUAAGUUUCUACCUCUUAUCUCUCCUGUCACAUUAUAGAUUACUUGUAGAGAUGGAGAGAAUUGAAUCCAUUUAUCCUCUGUAGCUGUUAUCUCAUUACCACUCACCUAAUACGUGAAUUUAUAAUAAGUGGUGGAUUUUACGUUCAGUUGACUUGGGUAGGUGUCUGAUGAAAGAAAGUUUGAUAGGACUGUUUGAUAAGAGCUUCAGGUGCUUAAAAAUAAAUGUGCUUCAAAAUUCUGAGGCAGUUUCUCAAGGCUUCUGCUGCAAACACACUGACAUCAUUCCAGUGGCUUUCUUUAUUUAAACUCGUCUUUCCUGCAGUCCUGUCGUAGUUCUGCAUGCUGCAGUGCCACUGUGUGCCUGCCUCUGUUCCACACAAGGCUGCGCUCCUUGAGGGCAGGUCUGUGCCUUGUGUCGGGGUAUCCUUAGUACCUGGCAGAGUACUGGGCCCUGGGAAUUUCAUAAUUUAAUGUAAAUUUCAAGUUUGCUAAUUAGAGGGCCUUUAUUUGCUUACCUAACAAUAUAAUUAUUUCCAGCUAGUACCAGAAAAAUAAUCAGAGUAUUUCUAGGACCGACAUCAAAAGUGCCAGUACAUUUCAGAGUUAGGGUCCUCUGCUCAACUUUCCACUGGGACUUGCCUGCUAGUUUCCUGGCUCAUUUGUUAUUGGGGGUUGCUGUGCCUGGACUCACAUUGCAGUUCCUGCUGUUUUAUGGUAUUAAUGUGAAGGAUCCUUUUUCACUAGUGUAGGCAAUUAUGAAUUGAGUGUAAUUGCUCGGAGAGGACACAAGUCAUGAAUAAAUACAAUCUGAAAAUUCCUAACAUACAUUGCAUUAUGGCAAAUAGAUCCUUCUUUCUAGGUUAAAUACUUAAAAAUAAAAUAUAAUUCAUAAGAAAUAUUUUGCAAAGUGUACUAUUACUGAUACUGCAUGCUAAUCAAGGCCUAUAUAGACUAAGUUACUUUAUUAUUUUAUCAGGUUAAUUUUUUUCAAAAUUUAUGUUUCCAAAUUAAAUUAACUAAUAAUUAAAAUCAAACUCAUCUCAAUUUAUUUUCCUUAUUCUCUGAAUGCUAUCCAUAUAUGAAUCGACAGUCCAGAAUCAUGGACCAAUUAUUAGUUCACAAAAUCUCAUUUCCCAUGACUGCAUAUAUUAUGCAGAUGAUAAUAUUCUUAGGUGUGCAUUGUCACCUUGGAUUUCACAUGAUGCUAUAAAUGCUAGAGUGACACUGAGAACUGAAAAAUGGAAGGGUAUAGAGAGGAUUUUUGUGUGUGUGAUUUAUAUACAUUUUAUUUUUUUAUCUCAUUUUGUUCCAUUGACUAGGCCCUCAGUAUGACUUAAAGCAGAGAUGGGAGCAUAUUUAUCUCAUUUAUAACUUUAAAAGGAAUGAGCCAAAUGUUUCACCAUUAUACACUUACUAUGAACCCUUUUUGUUGAUAUAUUUCAUAAACUUAAGGAAAUUUCUAUUCCUAGUCCAUUAAGAAUUUUUAUUAAUAGAAACUGAAUUUCAUCAAAUGCCUCUUCUACUUUUAUUUUGAUGAUCAUUUGGUGUUCAUAAAAUUGUUAAGAUAAAUUUCAUUAAUCAAUUUGUUAACUGUUAUGAUGAACUUUUCCCCAUAAUUAAAAAAAUUAUUAGUAAUAUUAUUUUAAAUUGACAAACAAUACUUGUAUACAUUUAUAUGGUAUAAUGUGCCAUUUUGUUAUGUGUAUACAAUGUGGCAUGAUUAAAUCUAACUAAUUAACAUAUCUAUCACCUCUCUUAUUUUUUAUGGUGAGACAUUUGAAAUUUAUUCUCUUAGUUAUUUUGAAAUAUAAAUACAUUAUUAUUGACCAUAGCCACCCUGCUGUGCAGUAGCUCUCAAAACCUAUUCCCCCUGUCUAUCUGAAACUUUGUACCCUUUGAUCAACAACUCCUCAUUCCCGCCCUCAUCAACCUCUUCCAGCCUCUGGUAACCUCAACCCCUUCCGGCCUCCAGUAACCGUCAUUCUACUUAGAAAAUGUUUAAAAAUAAGAAUACCAAGAAUGAGAGACAGAGGUUAUAAAUAGAUAGAAAAAUACUGGAAGGGGGAGAGGAAAGAAAGGGAGGGAGGGAGAGAGGGAAGGAAUGAAAAUGAGUGAAAAAGAGAGAAUUUGAAGAUCAUGUGAAAGACAGGGAGGGGAAAAUAAUCAAGUGAACACUUCAAGUGAUCCCUUGCUAUGUGAACUCAUCUCUCAUCAUAUGGGCUCAGCACUUUAUGAUCUAACAUAAAGAUUUAUGACAGGCCAUCAGCAAUUUUGUUCAUCCUGAUAUCCACACCUGGCAGUGGCUCGGCACCUGUUGUCUAACUCAACAAGGCCAAGUGCAUGCUGCCAGCCCCACGGCGCACUCUGUCCUGUGGCCCCAGACAGCCUUCUCUGAACAGACUCUGUAGACCUGGCCUCCAGGCUGCCUGAUUUUGUAGUCAUGAUGGCUUCAAUAACUUCAGGCAUUAUCCGUGGAAAUGUACUGCAAACUUGACUUUUUAAAUUAGGUAUUUCAAUUUCCAUAACUUAUGAAAUCUCAGUGAUUUUGUUAGUCCAGUGGUGAGCUUAAGGGUAUCAUUUGCAAAAUCAUUUCUUCCAGAUUCUUCAUUAGGUAAUUAUAAAAACAACAUUUCCUCUUCUAUGGCAUGAAGAGGAAAUUAAACCAGUCUUCCAUCACUAUCAAAAUAUUAAUUUUCUUAAUAUUUUAAUUGAAUCCAUUCCUCAGCAAUAACACCUACCAUUUACCAAGCAUGUACAUGUGCCAGGGACUGAGCCCGUGGCUUUGCAUGGGUCUUUUUUUAAUCCUCACAAGCUACUCUUCCACAAUGACUGCCAAUCUACAGAUGAAAAAAAGAGGCACACAGUGGUCCAAGAACUUGCUGAAGUUUACAAAGUUAGUGAGUGGUGGAACCAAGUCUAUGAACCCAUGAAUGAGCUCCGGAAUUUUCUCUCUUAGCUAUCGAAUUAUUCUGCGUCUGCAAGGUUGUUUAACAAUAAGGAUUGCCUAAACCAUGCCUGUGUAUCUGUGUAUCCUUUGAACACUUACUCUCAGCUGAAAUUGGUGAAAUGACUGACAAAUCUUAUUUUUUCAUAAAGGGAUGUGUUUGUAACGGAAUUCAUUUUCUGAUAAAAAAUAUUAUCUAAAAUGUUUUUCCUACUAUUUUGCUAUAAUAUCAACUGAAUAGAUGGGAAGGCCCUUCCCAAUAUGUAGGUACUAUCUAGAAUAGACAGGAAGGCCCUUCACCAAUAUGUAGGUACUAUCUAUCUAGUUAAAAUGAAGUGUAGGUUGUUGAAGCCCCAAGGAAAAGAAAGGGUGCUAAAUUUUUCUUUUUUGAGAUGGAGUCUCCCUUUGUCACCCAGGCUAGAGUGCUGUGGCACAAUCUUGGCUCACUGCAAGCUCCGCCUCCCAGGUUCACGCCAUUCUCCCACCUCAGCCUCCUGAGUAGCUGGGACUACAGAUGCCCGCCACCACGCCCGGCUAAUUUUGUUUUUGUAUUUUUAGUAGAGACGGGGUUUCACCGUGUUAGCCAGGAUGGUCUCGAUCUCCUGACCUUGUGAUCCACCCGCCUCAGCCUCUCAAAGUGCUGGGAUUACAAGCGUGAGCCACCACGCCCGGCUGCUAAAUUUUUCAACUCCUAACAUUCCUAAGCCUAGGAAGGAAGUCCUUCCCAAUAAUAUACAGACUGUACCUAUCUGCAUAAAAUGAAGUACAGGUUUAUUACAAUGAUUAGAGUAAUACUAGCAAGAACCUCAAGUCUCUGUGACUAACAAAAAGGUCCACUUUAUUAUUUUGGCACCUAUAUUCUUCAGAUGCAGAAGCCAACCACUUGCCUCUUCUCUUCAAUUUACUUGAGCAGAUGGGGGAUGCAAAGGCUGCUAACUACAAGACUACAUUUUCUCUUGGGUUGAGGGAAUAGAUUGGGGAAAAGAGAAAAAUGUAUGCUUUUAUGGAGAAACUAUUGUUUCUCCCUGGGCAAAGCGAGGGAUCAUCGAGAAAUCUUGUAUGCUGUAUAAAAAUUAUUUUCAAAAUCAUGGGUAUAUAAUCUCUUCCCUUUCCUGUUUGUUGAAAAACAUGCACAUAACACCAAGUUACUUUAUAGGCCAGAUGAGAGGAAAAAUAAAAUAAAUGACUUAAACUUCCCAAUUUUUUCAACAGUUACAAGGAAGACACAGUAAGAUGUGAUCUUCUAAAGUGAAAAUUUCCCAGAGUACCAAGGAAAAGGAGAAACUGCAGAAGAGCUUCAAGAACCACAAACACUUGGGUUUUGCAUCUUGCCAGAAAAUCUGCACUGUUGGUAGAAGCCUGGGGUAGGGCUGGCAGGACCUGACUCAGCGGAGAAAAUGCCACCCACAGUCACUGACUCUGCUUCCGCAGUAGCGGAGCUCCCCUGUUUUCUCUGGAGGUUUCCCACAGCCGGGCCAAUACCCAUGUCUCUCAGAUGGGAAACUGGACUUUUGGAAAAUUGAAACUAAAUAAAGUCGUAUAACUUUUAAAAGAAGUUUACAAUUAUGAUGCUUUGCUUUUCACAUGCGCUUAAAGUCCAUUUUCUGUUGAAUAAAUAAUAUUAACCACAUAUUAACCACCUAAUAGUUUUAAAAUGUCUCAAACAGCCAUCACCAUCAUUCUGAACAGAAUCACACUUCUUUUUAAAAGAUCACUGUUAAAAGAUGAGGGGAAACAGUACCAUUAAAAGGAAGCAAAACAUAGUUCAAAGUCUGCUUCCAUGAGGUAAUGUACGCUAUCGACUAAUUGUCAAAGGAAUCCAGUCUAUACCGAGAUGAAUGAAGCAUGAGGUUAAGGCAGGUGGCUGGGAGAAGUUAGAAACUCUCCCUCCCCGAUUGCAUUACAUUAUUGUCGAAGCCAAGCAGAUAGAUAGAAAUCAAUGAAAGUUUUGUUGAUCUGACACAGGAACUUGUGCACAGUGAAAUGGAAGCUAUGUAUUUUGUGCUGGAAACUGCCAGUCUCACAUUAACUGCAUGUAUAUGUGAAUAUAUGUAGGUUUGUGUGUGUGUGUGUGUGUGUGUGUGUGUGUGUGUGUGUGUGUACAGCAUGAAGCAGAACAUUUGAAAGAAUCUUCAGAAUUAUUUCUCGUUAGAUGUACUUUUGGGUAGAUUUUAUCUUUUUCCCCCAGAAAGUAAUAUUUCAAUAUAGAAAUUUAGGCCUCAGCAAAGUGAGGUGUUUUUUUUUUUUUUUUUUAUGUUACAAUGCUUGCAAACUUAAUGGUGGUUUCUAAUGGAAAACAAAUUUCUUCCCCUAAUCAUAAUAUAAGAAUUUGCAGGCCAGGCACAGUGUCUCAUGUCUCACGCCUAUAAUCCCAGCACUUUGGGAGGCCAAGGCGGGUGGGUCACUUGAGGUCAGGAGUUUGAGACCAGCCUGGCCAAGAUGGUGAAACCCCCUCUCUACUAAAAAUACAAAAAAAUUAGCUGGGCAUGGUGGCAGGAGCCUGUAAUCCCAGCUACUUGGGAGGCUGAGGCAGGAGAAUCGUUUGAACUUAAGAGGUGGAGGUUGCAGUGAGCCGACAUUGCAUCAUUGCACUCUAGCCUGGAUGAUAGAGUGAGAAUCCAUCUCGGAAAAAAAAAAAAAAAAGAAAAAAGAAAAAACAAACGAAAAACUACAGUUUUCUUUAAUAUAAAUAAAAUCUCUUGUAUUUGUACAAACGCAAUUGUGAAAAAUACUGAAAUAUUUUCCUAUUUAUUUUUAUGCUGGUCAGCAAGUGGUUUGAUUUCAGUAGCCAGACUCCAGGCGCAGAGUUCAGAACUAUAAAUUUGUUGUACCUCCUAUCAGUUAAAGUUGACUGAGAUGGCCAUCCCUCCCCAAAUCACAGUUCGUCUUGAAAAUCUUCAGAGUGUGAAAAAGGUAUGGCUCAGAACAAACACCAGUGGUUAAAAAUGAUAUCCUUUUCCCAGUAGCGAUAUACAUUGUGGGUAUGUGAUUAGAAUAUUUAAAAUACCUGUUCACCUGGUAUUAAGCCACAUGUGUAAUACAUUAGAGUGUUCCUGGCUCAUUUCCAAGAGUAUGUAUCCUCACUGCCAUGAAAAUACUGUGGGAGCCAGGGCAAAGAUACUUAAGUUUCACCCUAGAAGCAAUGCACAACAUAUAUAUUUCACUGUUAACAAUAUCAUCACACUAAGCAUUGUUGACUGACUAAUACUUCAAUGAAAUCAAUUAUUUAUUUUUGUGUCAGAAGAGAAACUGGCAGCAUAGGGACACUUGUGUUACCCUUGCUAAUUACUUCCAUUGUCUUGAAAUCUCAAUCAACCUACCCCCUUCUCUUUCUCCCUACAUCUCUCUCAUUCUUUCACUUUCUCUCUCAUUGUCUAACUCCUCUUCUUGGAUACAAAGUAGUUCAAAGGGGACACCAGGAAAUAAAUUAUAUCCUAAUGCUAUCUACCAGAGUUCACUAAGAGAACUUGGGCAAGCCCCUCUAUUUGGCAGAAUUCCACUUAUUUUUUUUUUUAACUCUAUUUUGACUGGACUUAAUAGAAUUACUUUUGACUCCUAGUUUUUUUCCUUUUUCUACCCUUUCCCUAGUUUAAAAAUCUGUGUAGUGAGGACCUUAUUUCUGAAGAAUUUCAUCAUGUUAUUACACAAGAAAUAUACAUACAUUAUAUGAUAAUUUAUAAAAUGUGACAUUUUAUUUAAAUGUAAGCACCAAAUACACUGAAGAUUUCAGUGUCCAAAGUAUGCGUGUGUAUAUACAAGUGAAAGUUUAAAAUUUUUGCCUAAAUUUACAUAUGCAAAAAGGAACAGCAGGAAAAUAAAUACCAGUUGUAUGAGCAUCAUGUGCUAAUGGCUAUAUAUGUAUAUAAGUUAAUUCUUACAGGAAAACCAAAAGUGAGUUUUAUUAUCCCUAUUUUACUGCUUCAGAAGCUGAAGCUUGGUGGAAAUUCAGAAUGUUGCCCAAGAUCACAGAGUUUAUGAAAGUGGCAGAAACCAGGUUUGUCUGACGCUAAAAUGUGUGUCUGUCCCUCUUCCAGCACCACACUGUCUUUUUUAUGAAAGGGCAGGGCUUUUAUUAUAUGGAUGUGAAAGUGUAAGGGGAGAGUUUUCAUAUUUGAGAGUAUUGUAUUCAGAAUCCUGACCUGUUUAGGUGAUCAUUAAAAGUGCACAUGUCCUGGCUGGGUGUGGUGGCUCACACCUGUAAUCUCAGCACUUUGGGAAGCCGAGGCAGGCGGACCACUUGAGGUCAGGAGUUCAAGACCCAGCCUGGCCAACAUGGUGAAACCCCGUAUCUACUAAAAAUACAAAAAUUAGCCAGGUGUGGUGGCACAUGCCUGUAGUCCCAGCUACUCGGGAGACUGAGGCAGGAGAAUUGCUUGAGCCCAGGAGGUGGAGGUUGCAGUGAGCCGAGAUCGUGCCAUUGUACUCCAGCCUGGGCAACAGAGUGAGACUCUGUCAAAAAAACCCAAAAAAACAAAAAAAAAAAACUGCACAUGUUCUGAGGAAGGAGGAUCUUUUGAUCCCAGGAGUUUGAGAAGAGCCCAGGCAACCUAGCGAGACUCUGUCUAAAAAUUAAAAAGUGCACUACUUCAUUAGGAACUUCUAAAUUUAUAGAUUUUGAUUUAUGUUUCAAUUUACUGUAAAGAAGCUUAUAUAGUUUAAAAUAAACCUCCUAGGCCAGGCACAGUGGCUCACUCCUGUAAUCCAAGCACUUGAGAGGCUGAGGUGGGAGGAUCACUUGAGCCCAGGAAUUCGAACAGCCUGGGCAACAUGGCAAAAUCCUGUCUCUACAAAAAAUACAAAAAUUCGUUGGGUGUGGUGGUAUGUGCCUGUGGUCCUAGCCACUUGGGAGGCUGAGGCAGGAGAAUCACUUGAGCCCAGGAGUUGGAGGUUGCAGUAAGCCAAGGCUGUGCCACUGCAUUGAAACCUGGGCAAUGGGCAUGAAAUCAUCUCAAAAAAAUAAAAAAUAAAAAAAGGCAAAACGAAAACAACAACAAACACAACAAAGAACCUCCUGAGGCCUCUAUAAUUUGCUUUCUUAACACACUGUAUGUGAUAAAUAGUCCUCAGUCACAGAAAUGUAUGUGCACCUUAUUAGUGCAAACUAAAAUUAUAUGAAUAUUUCUGAAGCAACUUGUCCUAUGAAAUAAAAAUAUAAGUUUGGUGAAAGCUUUCAGGCUUUUUAGCACACACACAUAUACAUACUUACAAAACGUAAAGUAUUUUGGCACUUCCACUUUUCACAACUGUUUCUGUCUUUUCCAGCAGAACCUCUCUCAAGAAUUGAUUGUCAUUACGCUAAUUUACUGCUCGAGACCACGGAGUGUCUUUCUGAUGCCAAUUGUAUCACAUCUAAUUCCACAUCAAAUAUUUAGAGUGCUUGAUUUCCCUGUCUCUUCUUCCCAUUUUCAUUGCCAUCUUUCUUAUAUCUUUUUCUUUAUAUGAAUAUUCUCUUCAUAUCAAGCUAAUACUUUUCAUGCCCUUGUUUCUUUUUUCUUGUGACUCUUUCCAUACUUGGUUUUUUGAAAGUUUGCCCACAUGUUUUUCAUCAAUUGAUAUCCAUCUUUCUGAAUUUGACUUGUUUGAGCCUAAAAAGAACUACCAAUCAUGGCUGCCUGUCCUGACCUUUUAAACUUCUUUCUACCACUUAUUGCUUGAUGACAUGGUAUCAGGAGCGGCGCUGCCAUCAUUGUCGUCAUUAUCAUUAUUGUAAACCUUACCAAGUGUCAGACCCUGUUCUAAGCAUUUUACAAAUGUUUAUCCAUUUAAUUCUCAUAACAGCUAAGCAGAAGACAGUAUUAUUAACCUCUAUUUACAGAUGAUGGGAUUAAGAAACAAACAGUUGGCCGGGUGCGGUGGUUCACGCCUGUAAUCCCAGCACUUUGGGAGGCCGAGGCUGGCGAAUCACCUGAAGUCGAGAGUUCAAGACCAGCCUGACCAACAUGGAGAAACCCUGUCUCUACUAAAAAUACAAAAAAAAUUUAGCUGGGCGUGGUGGCACAUGCCUGUAAUCCCAGCUACUCGGGAGGCUGAGGAAGAAUUGCUUGAACCCGGGAGGUGGAGGUUGCGGUGAGCUGAGAUCACGCCAUUGCACUCCAGCCUGGGCAACAAGAGUGAAACUCCAUCUCAAAAAAAAUAAAAUAAAAUAAAAAAUAAAACAGACAGUCUAAGUAAUUUUCCCAAGGACAUAUAGAACUCAGGCAGUCUAUCUCCAGAACUGAUGCUCCUCAACACUGUGCUAUGUUGCCUCCCUCUAAAUACCCCAUAGUUCUCAUUACGUUGUUUUGUCCAGUUGAUUCCCACAUGUAUUUUCUACCUUAAUUGGACUGUAAGUUUUGUGAGGUCACAGACAAUGUCUUCCAAACUUGUAUUUCUCCUGGCAUCAAUAUAAAGUUCUGUAUAUCCUAAGAAUUUAAUAAUUAUUGCUUGAAUAAAACAAAAUCUACAUAUAAAAGUGGAAACAAAUUUUUAAGAUAUACAUACUGGAAGGCCACUUUCAGAAAUGAAGGUAAAAAUAUAACAAAAAUCUUGAAUGCUUUAAUGAAUAAUUUGCAAUAUAAGUCUAACUGCAUUGAAAAUCGAUAAUGAAAUUGCUGUAUUAAUUUCUUUGCACUUCUAUUUAAUAUUUCUUAACUGUCAUUAUAAGCAUUUGAUGCAUAGAAUAAGCAUACUUUCUUUUGUUUAAGCCAAGCUGCUUGCAUUAUUUUGGCUUUCUAUUACAGAUAAUACUGUAGACAUUUCAAAUCCACAAUGAUUUGGAGGUAGUCAAAUCAAUAUCAGCUACAUAAUACAUAAAGGAUGGAUGCAAAUUUUAUAGCAAAGAAAUUAAUAAUUUAUAUCUGUUUACUGUAACAAAAUUUUUUGUCAGCUUUUUCUGAAGUUUAACAAUGCUUUAGCCAAUAUUCAUAAAUUAUGUAUAACAUAUAACUGUUUAAGAUAAAAUGCUACUAAAAUAACUAUAUUAUUUCAUGUUUAUAAAUGUUACAGAAUCUAUUAUAUGUAGUAAUUCAUGUAGUACUCUUUCUGUAUGAUAGCCUAGCAUAGUUACCAUAGCUCAUAUCACUAUUACAUCUAAAAAUAUUUUUUAUUUCAGCAGUUAAAAAGAACCAAUAUUUUCCAUAUUACAGACUUUGCUGAAGAGUCAGAAAUGAAUAAUAUAAUAUCAAAGGUAAUAAUUUCCCAAACUGAAUUUAUCCUGCAUGGUACAAAUGACUCAACAAUGAAAAUUUUGUUUAAAAAGUAUUCAUGUAAAAGGCUUUGUCCCUGGAAUACAGCUCUAAGUGGCUCACUAUCUAGGUUGAAAAUGGUUUCGCAGGGUUGUAUGUCCUAUUUUUCCAUGCCUGCAGUAAAGAUACAAUAUGGGAAUUCAGCUUGGUAAUUACUAAUACACCACACAGACACAAUUACACCCUGUAUGCUGCAUAAAGGAAUCACUUGUGGUCUGCAUCCAUUACAAAGAGCAGUAGGGGGCCAACAUGCAAGACGACAAAAUGCUUUACAAGACGGAAGGAGACCAGAAGAGUCGAUGUACACAGAUACAAGGACCUUGAUUCUUCUAGCAAUGAUUUAAGCCUCUUUCCAUCAAUUAUCGUCUUUUGUCUCAAGAGUCUUAUCACCAGCAGCAUUACAGGAACUGAACAUAACAAUGCUCAGACUCGUAUAACCCUAUGAACUGUGCUGACAUUUCCACACCCUGUUGCUAUGUUUGACCUGGUUUACAGAUUACUUAAGCAAAACAAAAUAGAAAAAAAAAGCAUUCCCAUUGCAAAACUGGCAUACACACACACACACACACACGUAUUUUUUUAUGACUUACUCAGAAUUCCAUUUGUUGAAACUAAAAGCCAUCCUACUCCAGAAAUGCUAUUUUUCAAAGUAGUUUCUACAUCAUUUUAAAGAUUAAAAGUAAAAAUCUGCU